AGUCACACCUUCAGGCUCCACGUCUGAUUCUAGUUCUCUUGCUGUUUCCACCACAUCUGCAGUUACUUCCUCCACUGAAGUCUUGAACCCCUGAAAGUCUUCCAUGAGAGUUGGAAUCAGCUUCUUCCAGGCUCCUGUUAAUGUUGGUGAGCAAAAUAUUCCAGAUGAACAAACUAUCUUGUGGAGGAACCAGCAGAAAACUGACAGGUGGACUUAACCACUGUGGCCGCAAAGCCUUCAGAAGCAGAAAAGCAUGGGAUUCCUCGCCUUGCCCUGCUUGUCUCCUGUCUCCUCUCCCUACAUUGAUGAUGCUAAAGAAGGAGAUAAAGGAAGAAGAUCCUUGCUUAAGGAAGUAGCCUGGCUUGCAAGAUAAUU
RNAcentral lists this long non-coding RNA (375 nucleotides) under Equus caballus (horse). RNAcentral describes it as "lncRNA (ENSECAG00000058601.1)". Lineage: Eukaryota; Metazoa; Chordata; Mammalia; Perissodactyla; Equidae. The record is from RNAcentral.